Molecule: transfer RNA, 73 nt
Filed under: endosymbiont of Riftia pachyptila
Lineage: Bacteria; Pseudomonadati; Pseudomonadota; Gammaproteobacteria
Description: tRNA-Ile
Rfam family: tRNA
About the family: Transfer RNA (tRNA) molecules are approximately 80 nucleotides in length. Their secondary structure includes four short double-helical elements and three loops (D, anti-codon, and T loops).
Source: RNAcentral
GGGUCUGUAGCUCAGUUGGUUAGAGCGCACCCUGAUAGUGAGGUCGGAGGUUCAAAUCCUCCCAGACCCACCA